This 1106-nucleotide ribosomal RNA is filed under the name uncultured bacterium. Its description in RNAcentral is "bacterial SSU rRNA". It matches the Rfam family "Bacterial small subunit ribosomal RNA", at positions 232 to 1351 of the family's 1533-position model. The record is from RNAcentral.
CGCGGCCUAUCAGUUUGUUGGUGAGGUAAUGGCUCACCAAGACGAUGACGGGUAGCCGGCCUGAGAGGGCGACCGGCCACACUGGGACUGAGACACGGCCCAGACUCCUACGGGAGGCAGCAGUGGGGAAUAUUGCACAAUGGGCGAAAGCCUGAUGCAGCGACGCCGCGUGGGGGAUGACGGCCUUCGGGUUGUAAACCUCUUUCAGUAGGGAAGAAGCGAAAGUGACGGUACCUGCAGAAGAAGCGCCGGCUAACUACGUGCCAGCAGCCGCGGUAAUACGUAGGGCGCAAGCGUUGUCCGGAAUUAUUGGGCGUAAAGAGCUCGUAGGUGGCUUGUCGCGUCUGCCGUGAAAACCCGAGGCUCAACCUCGGGCGUGCGGUGGGUACGGGCAGGCUAGAGUGUGGUAGGGGAGACUGGAACUCCUGGUGUAGCGGUGAAAUGCGCAGAUAUCAGGAAGAACACCGAUGGCGAAGGCAGGUCUCUGGGCCAUUACUGACACUGAGGAGCGAAAGCAUGGGUAGCGAACAGGAUUAGAUACCCUGGUAGUCCAUGCCGUAAACGUUGGGCACUAGAUGUGGGGGACAUUCCACGUUUUCCGCGUCGUAGCUAACGCAUUAAGUGCCCCGCCUGGGGAGUACGGCCGCAAGGCUAAAACUCAAAGGAAUUGACGGGGGCCCGCACAAGCGGCGGAGCAUGCUGAUUAAUUCGAUGCAACGCGAAGAACCUUACCAAGGCUUGACAUGCACCGGACGGCCGCAGAGAUGUGGCUUUCUUCGGACUGGUGCACAGGUGGUGCAUGGUUGUCGUCAGCUCGUGUCGUGAGAUGUUGGGUUAAGUCCCGCAACGAGCGCAACCCUUGUUCUAUGUUGCCAGCACGUCAUGGUGGGGACUCAUAGGAGACUGCCGGGGUCAACUCGGAGGAAGGUGGGGACGACGUCAAAUCAUCAUGCCCCUUAUGUCUUGGGCUUCAAGCAUGCUACAAUGGUCGGUACAAUGGGUUGCGAAACUGUGAGGUGGAGCGAAUCCCAAAAAGCCGGCCUCAGUUCGGAUUGGGGUCUGCAACUCGACCCCAUGAAGUCGGAGUCGCUAGUAAUCGCAGAUCA